AGAGUUUGAUCAUGGCUCAGGAUGAACGCUGGCGGCGUGCCUAAUACAUGCAAGUCGAACGAGUUCUCGUUGAAUCUCGGUGCUUGCACCGAGAUUCAACAUGGAACGAGUGGCGGACGGGUGAGUAACACGUGGGUAACCUGCCCUUAAGUGGGGGAUAACAUUUGGAAACAGAUGCUAAUACCGCAUAGAUCCAAGAACCGCAUGGUUCUUGGCUGAAAGAUGGCGUAAGCUAUCGCUUUUGGAUGGACCCGCGGCGUAUUAGCUAGUUGGUGAGGUAAUGGCUCACCAAGGCGAUGAUACGUAGCCGAACUGAGAGGUUGAUCGGCCACAUUGGGACUGAGACACGGCCCAAACUCCUACGGGAGGCAGCAGUAGGGAAUCUUCCACAAUGGACGCAAGUCUGAUGGAGCAACGCCGCGUGAGUGAAGAAGGCUUUCGGGUCGUAAAACUCUGUUGUUGGAGAAGAAUGGUCGGCAGAGUAACUGUUGUCGGCGUGACGGUAUCCAACCAGAAAGCCACGGCUAACUACGUGCCAGCAGCCGCGGUAAUACGUAGGUGGCAAGCGUUAUCCGGAUUUAUUGGGCGUAAAGCGAGCGCAGGCGGUUUUUUAAGUCUGAUGUGAAAGCCCUCGGCUUAACCGAGGAAGCGCAUCGGAAACUGGGAAACUUGAGUGCAGAAGAGGACAGUGGAACUCCAUGUGUAGCGGUGAAAUGCGUAGAUAUAUGGAAGAACACCAGUGGCGAAGGCGGCUGUCUGGUCUGCAAC
RNAcentral lists this ribosomal RNA (768 nucleotides) under Lacticaseibacillus casei. RNAcentral's name for it is "bacterial SSU rRNA". It matches the Rfam family "Bacterial small subunit ribosomal RNA", at positions 8 to 740 of the family's 1533-position model. Lineage: Bacteria; Bacillati; Bacillota; Bacilli; Lactobacillales; Lactobacillaceae. The record is from RNAcentral.